RNAcentral lists this long non-coding RNA (5916 nucleotides) under Homo sapiens (human). RNAcentral describes it as "uncharacterized LOC105379362, transcript variant 5 (LOC105379362)". Lineage: Eukaryota; Metazoa; Chordata; Mammalia; Primates; Hominidae. The record is from RNAcentral.
CUCUCUCACUGGCAGCAACCCAGCGCUUCCAUUGCUGACCUCUACCGACCUCUACCUGUGGUCCUUCCUCUACUGCAGCAGAGACACUGUUUUCUUCCUUUGUUCUUCCAACCCCAUGGCACAGAAACACUCUCCACUGCGGCCAAGGAUUGCAGGAGAGGUGGCAUCAGUGAUUCAAGACUUCUUUUCCUACCUCUUCAGUGUUUCUUUCAGUGAUCUGAAGUUAAAGCCAGGUGAAUAAACUGACACUGGAACAUUCAGGAACUUCUUCAUGGUCAUGGUCACCCAGCUAGAGUGUGGAAGCCAGGCUGUCUGAUUCCAGGAUCUGUGUUCUUAAUCCUAUACAUAAGGAAGCCAUAAUGAGUCAACCACUAUUUUUAAGAUUCACAGAUGUUCGGGUCCAAUUCACCAGAAUGCCAAGUUAUACAGGGUUGUGGAAUCAAAAACUGCAAUUAGUAAUAAAAUGUGAUGCUAUCUAGAAUGUUUUUCAUACAUAUAUAUGCUUCUUGGGACUCUCCCUGCAGGUUAAGAGAAAUUGAGAAACGAUGGAGAAUUUAAGUGUUUUAGAUCCUACAUACAUUAGACUUAAAAAUAGUAACUAUGUACAUGAGUAUUUGUAAACUUAAGAAUGAACAUAACAUGAACCAUGUGGCACCUAUAAAAUGAAAAUAAAAUACCUACAAACCAAAUGAGAGCAAUAAAAGAAGCUUUAAGGACUUUCACUUCAGGGAGUCUGAAUUAGAUGCGCUUCUUCCCAUUCCUCCCUCUAAUUACAACAAGCUUGGACGUUACAUACAGAACAAACAGAAGGAGUCUCUGAAAGAUGAAGAGAAGGCAAGUAAGCUACAGACUUCACAAUGUAAGGAAUAAUAUGGUGGUGAGUUACAUUUGUGAUUUUUUUUUGUCUCAUAUCCCAUAAUAUCUCAUAUCUCAUAAUCAGUUAGAAAGCACAAUGGAAAAGUAUUCCACUGCCAAUGGUGUUAGAGAACUGCUCACAAAUUCAACAGAAAUGCACAGAUACCAAAGCAGAAAGGACAAUAAACAAGAGUCUUCAUGGUCAAAAGAUUAGAAGCUGCAGCUUUCAAUGGGAGGGACAGGUUCUGGACCACACUGCAGUGCUUUUCUGCUUUCUGUGCUUUCCCACUCUAGAGCUGAAGAAGGUAACGACCCCAAAAUGUCAAUAUACGUAGACCAAAAACCAGCCCCAAUAAAAGUCUGCUCUCUCUAGCCAAAGGACUACAGUAGGGCAGCCCAGCAAGACAGAAAACCUUCAGACAACCUACCCCAGCCAAACACUACCAAAAAAAGUAAAGUGAGCCAUCACCCAAUCCACAUCAGUAAAAACUAAGUGGAAAGUCCAGACUUUCACCUCAAGAGGUUGCGACAAGCUACUCCAAUACCCCUGCUGGGAUAGUGUCACAGAAGGCUAAAUAAGGAGCUGUAAUGUUGAUUCCCCUCCAGAAGUAAAGAGUCCGUACCUGCUAUUUUCAGAGAGACCACAUGGAAAGCCUAGAUUUCAACACCUACCCAGCAUUAAUGAGGUAUUCCUUCCCUUCUUUACUCUCUGGUGUCAAAGAAGCUCCAUGCAGAGUCAGAAUGUUUGGCAUUACUCCUCAGUAGGGAGGCCACCCCCACCACGGUGUUAGUGGAGACCAUGUGAGGACCAGGACUUGUACCCUGCCCAGAAGUAAUGAGUAGACCCCCCUCUACAGGAAGGCCAAAGGGCAACCUAAACUUCUACCUCUCUCUGGCAGUAAUAAAGUAGGGCCUCACUUUUCCCUGCUGAGCAAUGUCAAAAAAAAAAGCCAGCUGAAGUAAAAGCUUAUUUCUUUCUUUCUUUAUACAUAUUUUUGGAGACAGGGUCUUAUUCUGUCACCCACGCUGGAGUACAGUGGCCUCAUCAGGUCUCACUGCAGCCUCAACCUCCUGGGCUCAAGCAAUCCUCCCACCUCAGCCUCUUGAGUAGCUGAGACCACAGAUGUGCACCACCACACAUAGCUAACAUUAACAUUUUUUCUAGAGAUGGGGUCUUCCUGUGUUGCCCAGGCUGGUCUGGAACUCCUGGGCUCAAGUGAUCCUCCCACCUUGACCUCCUGGAGGGCUGGGAUUACAGGUAUGAGUCAUCACUCCAGGCUGAAGCUUUAUAUAAUAACCAGAGUCUCAUAUUACAAAAUGUCAAAGAUUCAGUCAAAAGUUACUUGAUAUCAAUGGACAAGAUCUCAAACUAAAUGAAAAAAAGACAAUUAAUAGAUGCUAACACUGAGAUAACAAAGUUGUUAGAAUCAUCUAACAAAGAUUUUAAAGCAGCUAUAAUAAAAGUGCUACUGCAAGUGAUUAUAAACAUGCUUGAGACAAAUGAAAAAGUGCUAUAAAGCUAAGAAAUAAAAUAUAUAAAUAAGAAUCAAAGAGAAAUUAUAGAACUAAAAGAUACCAUAACUGAAAUGCAAAGCUCCGUGGAUGGACUCAACAACAGAAUGGAAAAGACUGAGGAAAGAAGUAGUUUACAGGAAAUUAGAAUAGACUAGAAAAAAUGAACAAGACCCUGUGCUAAAGAGCAAAUAUUUAUGUCAUUGGAUUCCAGGAAAGAGAAAAGAAUGAAAAAGUACUUAAAUAAUGGCUUAAAAACUUCUCACAUUUUGCAAAGAUUUAAACCUACAAUUUGAGAAGCUGGGUAAACCUUAAACAGGAUAAAUCAAGGACACUCACACCAAGAAACAUAGUAAUUAAACUUCUGAUUAAGGAAGAAAAAGAAAAAUCUGGAAAGCAGCAAGAAAAAAAUGACACACUUUCUAUAUGGUAAAAGCAAUUUGAACAACAGAAGAUUUCUCAUCAGAAACUGUGGGGACCAUGAGGAAGUAACAGAUAUUUUUCAAGUGCUGAAAUAAAUCAACUGUCAAUACAAAAUGCUCUACUCAGUGAAAAUAUCUUUCAGGAAUAAAGGGGAAAUCAGGACACGCACAGACUUUUUUUAAAUUAAGAAUUUAUUGUCAGCUUAUCUCCCUAAAAGAAUGGCUAACAUUCUCCAAACACGAAGGAAAUUGAUAAGGAAUCUUGAAAUUUCAGUUAGAAACAAUGAAUAUGGCAAGCAAAAUGUAGGUCAGUACACUAAGUUUAAUUUCUCCUCUUGAAUUUUCUAAAUUAUGACUUAUGAUUGAAGCAAAAAUCAUAACAUUAUCUGAUGUAUAUGUAGAGGAAAGAUUUAAGACAGUGAUGUUAUAAAUGAGGGGAGUAAAGGAACAUGAGAUAACCACUAAUAUGACAUACCAAUAGACUAUGAUAAAUUAUGUGUCUAAUGUGAUUACUAGAAAAACCAGUUAAAAUAUAAAGAUUGACGGAGUGAAUUUAAAAACAUGACACACUAUAUGCUGUUUAUCAUAAACUCACUUUGAAGAUAAUGCCAUCGUCAGGUUGAAAUCAAAAGGAAUAAAAUAGUGUAUUAUGUAAACCAUCAAAAAGAGCAGGAAUGGCCAUAUUAAUAACAUUAAAGUCAGCUUCAGAACUAAGGAAAUUAUCAGAGAGGGACAUUAUAUAAUGAAAUAGUCGAUUUACCAAAAGAACAUAGCAAUCAUAAAUGUGCAUGAAGCAAACAACAAAGCUGGAAAAUAUAUGAAGUGAAACUGAUAGAUCUAAAAGGAGAAACAGAUAAAUCCAUUCAUUAUAGUUGGGGCCUUUAUCACCCCUCACUCAACAAUUGAUAGAACUGGACAGAAAACCAGUAAGAAUAUAAAAGAACUCAACAACAUGAGACAAUAGGAUCUAGUUGAUAUUUAUAGAACAUUCCAACAGCAGAAUACAUGUUCUUCAAGUGCUCACAGAACACACAUAUAAAGAUAGACCCUGAGCAUAAAACAAGCCUCAACAAAUUUAAAAGAACUGAAAUACUACAAGUACUUUCUCCAACCACAAAAGAACCAAACUAGAAAUAAAUAACAAUGAUAAUGGGAAAAUCACCAAACACUUGAAAACUGAACAACAAUAUUUUAUAACCCAUGGUCAUAGAGGAAAUCUCAAAAGAAAUUUUAAAAAUGCACUGAACUGAAUGAAAAUGAAAACAACAUAAAAUUUGUGAGACACAUAAAGCAGAACUGAUGGGAAAAUAUAUAGCACUAAAUGCAUGCUCUAGAAAAGAAAAGUCUUCAACCAGUAACCUAAGCUUCCACCUCAAAAACCUAAAAAAAGAAGGAAAAAUAGACCCAAUGCCAGCAGAAAGAUGCAAUAACAAAGAGUAGAACUCAAUGAAAUUGAAAACAGAUAAACACUUUAAAGAAUAAAACAAAGAGCUGGUUAUUAGAAAAGAUCAAUUAAUUGAUAAACCUCAAGCAAGACCGUCAAAAAAAAAAAAAAAAGGACUUACCUAUACCAGAGAUGAAAUGGGAUAUCGCUAUCAAUACUGCAAACAUCAAAAGGAUAAGUAGAUACUAUGAACUGUACACACAUUAAUCUGACAAUUUAGACAAAAUAGAUCAUUUCCCUAGAAAACACAAACUACUACAGCUUACCCAAUAUAAAAUAGAUUAUUUGAAUAGCCUUAUAAGUACUAAAAAAAAAUUAAUUAAACUCAUUAUUUAAAAAUUCCUAAAAAGAAAGCCUCCAGAGCCAAAUUGUUUCCUUCAGAAUUCCACCACAUUCAUAAAGAUUUGACAGCAAUUCUAUACAGUCUCUUUGAGAAAAUAGAAGGGGGUAUUUUCUAAUUCAUUUUAAGGAGCUAGUAAAUACCCUGAUACUGAAAUGUAUACUGCAAAUUGAUAAAAUUAUAGACCCCUGCAUAUUAAAUUUCAAAAUAAAAAUGAUAAAAAUACUUGGGUAAUGAAUAACAGCAUAACAAAAAACCACAGACCAAUAUCUCAUGAACAUAGACACAAAAAAUGCUUCACAAUAUGACAUAGAAUUCAGUAAUACAUGAGAAUUAUAUACCACAACCCAGUAAGACUUAAUCCAAGAAUGGAAGACUGGCUCAAUAUUUAAAAAUCAAUCGAUGUAGUGCAAAUAUUAAUAGCUAAUGAAGAAAUGUCAUAAAAUUAAUGCAGAAAAAGGAUUUGACAAAAUUCAACACUCAUUUAUGUAAAAAUGCUCUGAAAAAUAGGAAUUAAAGGACACCUACAAGAAACUUUCAGCUAACAUAAUUCUUAAUGCUGAAUGAUUGAAUGUUUUCUUCCUGAGCUUGAGAAUAAGGUGAGGGUAUCAUCCCUAAUGACGCUUAUUCAACAUAGUGCUCAAAGUUCUAUGAAGUGCAAUUAGGCAAUAAAGGGAAAUAAAAGACAGGUAAAAGAAGAAAUUAAAUUUUAUUUGAAAAAGCUGAUUGUCUACCUAGAAAAUCUCAAGGAAAACACUAUUAAUAUACAGAACAACCUGAAUGAAUCUUUGGAGAAUUACGCUGCAUCAGAAAAAGCCAAUCACAAAAGAUUACAUACUAUGUAAUUCCAUUUGUAUAACAUUUUGAACUGACAAAAGUAUAGAAAUGAACAGAUUAGUGGUUGUUAGGGGUGAGGGGUUAUGGGUCAGAGAUAGGAGUUGGGGAUAUAAAAAGGCAACCUGAGGGAUCCUUAUGGUGAUUGAAACAUUCUGUAUGUUGGUUCUAUCAAUGUCAAUACUCUGGUUGGACUAUGGUUCCACAGUUUUGCAAGAUGUUAUUGAGGAAAACGGCAUAAAUGGUGCCCAGGAUCUCUCUAUUGUUUCUUACUGAUUAUGUAUCUGCAAUGAUUGCAAAAUAAAAAGGUUUAAUUUUUAAAAAGGAUUAAACAUUACAUAGCAUACACUUGAGUAAAAGACAAAAUCUGGCUAAGGAUUAUUUUUGUCCUAAGUAAUAUGUGGAUUUUGUACAACAUAAAUCACAAUCCCCUAAAAUCUAUAUUGUAAAUUGAUAAAAUGUAAAACCUGUGUAUUACAGAAUAAAAGAUGAACAAAAAUUACAAAACA